This 497-nucleotide ribosomal RNA is filed under the name uncultured bacterium. RNAcentral describes it as "partial 16S ribosomal RNA". It matches the Rfam family "Bacterial small subunit ribosomal RNA", at positions 28 to 507 of the family's 1533-position model. The record is from RNAcentral.
GACGAACGCUGGCGGCGUGCCUAAUACAUGCAAGUUGAGCGCUGAAGGUUGGUACUUGUACCAACUGGAUGAGCAGCGAACGGGUGAGUAACGCGUGGGGAAUCUGCCUUUGAGCGGGGGACAACAUUUGGAAACGAAUGCUAAUACCGCAUAAAAACUUUAAACACAAGUUUUAAGUUUGAAAGAUGCAAUUGCAUCACUCAAAGAUGAUCCCGCGUUGUAUUAGCUAGUUGGUGAGGUAAAGGCUCACCAAGGCGAUGAUACAUAGCCGACCUGAGAGGGUGGUCGGCCACAUUGGGACUGAGACCCGGCCCAAACUCCUACGGGAAGCAGCAGUAGGGAAUCUUCGGAAAUGGACGAAAGGCUGACCGAGCAACGCCGGGUGAGUGAAGAAGGGUUUCGGAUCGUAAAACUCUGUUGGUAGGGAAGAACGUUGGUGAGAGUGGAAAGCUCAUCAAGUGACGGUAACUACCCAGAAAGGGACGGCUAACUACGUG